UACGAAGGGUGCAAGCGUUAUUCGGAAUCAUUGGGCGUAAAGCGCGCGCAGGCGGAUUGAUAAGUCAGGUGUGAAAUCUCGAAGCUCAACUUCGAAACUGCGCCUGAAACUAUUAGUCUAGAAUGUCGGAGGGGGCAGGGGAAUUUCACGUGUAGGGGUAAAAUCCGUAGAGAUGUGAAGGAACACCGGGGGCGAAGGCGCCUGCCUGGACGACUAUUGACGCUGAGGCGCGAAAGCGUGGGGAGCAAACAGG
Molecule: ribosomal RNA, 253 nt
Filed under: uncultured bacterium
Lineage: Bacteria
Description: partial 16S ribosomal RNA
Rfam family: Bacterial small subunit ribosomal RNA
Source: RNAcentral